Long non-coding RNA from Cyprinus carpio carpio, 829 nucleotides. Lineage: Eukaryota; Metazoa; Chordata; Actinopteri; Cypriniformes; Cyprinidae. The record is from Ensembl.
GGAAGUGUUUCCGCCCGGACCGGAAAAACAGAACACCGGAACUUCCGGUAGCGCCGUAAGAAGGAAAAUCAGGGAAUUCGAUGCACCUGUGCCUAGUUAGGGACAGCGGUUGGUGAUUGGAGGAUACGCUGGACAAGGCAGUACUUAAGGCCAAGUUAUUUCACAGUCUGGGAGCUCUUUCUGGCUGGAAUUGUAUGAUUGUGAAGACAUCGCGAACCUUAAAGGUUGAGAAGUGAACGGAUUAUACGGCGAACUGAGACGACGUGAAAAAGGGGAUUGGAAGCGGCAUUGAUGUGAGUACUAAGAGCCAGUCGAAAGUGCCCUGUAUAUUGACCUGGCGUUGUGUAGAUCUCUCCAGGAGGAGGAGGGCGGCCCUACCCCUAAUAUAGCGUGGUGGGAGAGCCGAAGGAAUACUUAUUGAAGUAGUCACAACGACGACAUCACUAGCUAGGCCGCAUAUUCCAUCGCCAGAUCCGAACCAAGCGAAGUGAAGGAAGACGGGUGUCCUUUUCGUACACUGAGUGUGGUGGGUGAGUCUUCGUGCUGUGAAAACCUAUAAUUUUGAUGUGGUGUUGUAUAUUGCUGUGGGCUGCUGUGUAUUGCCGUGUGUCCUGUCAGAUAAACCCCCGCCUUCACGCACUUCGUCGCGGGAGGACAAGGAGACUGCUGGUCCUAGCCUAGUUCAGUACAGUAUAUGUUGUGAGCGUGCUUCAGAUCUCCGGAGAUAGCACGGUACGCUGUGUCCAGCCCAGAGGUGAAAGCCAUCCAAAGCAGAGUAACUGUGCUAUUGUGCCCAAAUUGAUAUCUGUGGAGAGAAAAGGAGAGAGAG